UUUAAAAACAUAAAUCUGCUAUGGGAGAAGCAUAUUGUUCCUUUAGAUCUCUCUGUACUAUGUGCAUUUUUUGUCAUAUAUAUAUUUCUACUUUUAUUUAAAAUAUAAGGGGAAAAAUAAGGGAAAAAUACUUCAAUCAGUUACA
Dipodomys spectabilis (banner-tailed kangaroo rat) is the source of this 145-nucleotide long non-coding RNA. RefSeq lists it as uncharacterized. Lineage: Eukaryota; Metazoa; Chordata; Mammalia; Rodentia; Heteromyidae. The transcript has 3 exons. The record is from RefSeq and is a predicted model, not a curated record.